CUCGCAAGUGUGCAAAUUCUGGAAAAUUACUGCACAGGAUACAUUGAUGGAACGGUGGAGCAAAUGGAAGAACUUCUUGAACAGUUUCAGGUAAUUGAUUCUAUCUCGUUUGUGAAAGCUGACAACCACUCAAAAACAAGGGGCAAUAAACGUUUUUCACUUACAGCACCGCCAGUGUUUGAAAGCAAGAAGGGAAAUAUUCCAAUUGAGUUUUU
Long non-coding RNA from Xenia sp. Carnegie-2017, 215 nucleotides. RefSeq lists it as uncharacterized. NCBI's taxonomy places the organism in Eukaryota, Metazoa, Cnidaria, Anthozoa, Malacalcyonacea, Xeniidae. The record is from RefSeq and is a predicted model, not a curated record. The transcript has 3 exons.